RNAcentral lists this ribosomal RNA (2886 nucleotides) under Vibrio parahaemolyticus VP232. RNAcentral describes it as "bacterial LSU rRNA". It matches the Rfam family "Bacterial large subunit ribosomal RNA". Lineage: Bacteria; Pseudomonadati; Pseudomonadota; Gammaproteobacteria; Vibrionales; Vibrionaceae. The record is from RNAcentral.
UAAGUGACUAAGCGUACACGGUGGAUGCCUUGGCAGUCAGAGGCGAUGAAAGACGUAGUAACUUGCGAUAAGCCCAGAUUAGGUAGUAACAACCAUUUGAGUCUGGGAUUUCUGAAUGGGGAAACCCACGUGCAUAAGCACGUAUCCUUACCUGAAUACAUAGGGUAAGGAGGCGAACCGGGGGAACUGAAACAUCUAAGUACCCCGAGGAAAAGAAAUCAACCGAGAUUCCGAAAGUAGCGGCGAGCGAAAUUGGACUAGCCCUUAAGCUUUACACGCGUUAGACGAACGGUCUGGAAAGUCCGACGAUACAGGGUGAUAGUCCCGUAGUUGACGACGUGUGUUCAGUGAAAUCGAGUAGGGCGGGACACGUGAUAUCCUGUCUGAAUAUGGGGGGACCAUCCUCCAAGGCUAAAUACUACUGACUGACCGAUAGUGAACCAGUACCGUGAGGGAAAGGCGAAAGAACCCCUGUGAGGGGAGUGAAAUAGAACCUGAAACCGUGUACGUACAAGCAGUAGGAGCAGGCUUUGUCCUGUGACUGCGUACCUUUUGUAUAAUGGGUCAGCGACUUAUAUUCAGUGGCAAGGUUAACCAUCUAGGGGAGCCGUAGGGAAACCGAGUCUUAACUGGGCGUUCAGUCUCUGGAUAUAGACCCGAAACCAGGUGAUCUAGCCAUGGGCAGGUUGAAGGUUGAGUAACAUCAACUGGAGGACCGAACCGACUAAUGUUGAAAAAUUAGCGGAUGACUUGUGGCUAGGGGUGAAAGGCCAAUCAAACCUGGAGAUAGCUGGUUCUCCCCGAAAGCUAUUUAGGUAGCGCCUCGGACGAAUACUACUGGGGGUAGAGCACUGUUAAGGCUAGGGGGUCAUCCCGACUUACCAACCCUUUGCAAACUCCGAAUACCAGUAAGUACUAUCCGGGAGACACACGGCGGGUGCUAACGUCCGUCGUGGAGAGGGAAACAACCCAGACCGCCAGCUAAGGUCCCAAAUUACUACUAAGUGGGAAACGAUGUGGGAAGGCUCAGACAGCCAGGAUGUUGGCUUAGAAGCAGCCAUCAUUUAAAGAAAGCGUAAUAGCUCACUGGUCGAGUCGGCCUGCGCGGAAGAUGUAACGGGGCUAAGUAGUAAACCGAAGCUGCGGCAAUGUGCUUUUGCACAUUGGGUAGGGGAGCGUUCUGUAAGCGGUUGAAGGUGUGUGGUAACGCAUGCUGGACGUAUCAGAAGUGCGAAUGCUGACAUGAGUAACGAUAAAGGGGGUGAAAAACCUCCUCGCCGGAAGACCAAGGGUUCCUGUCCAACGUUAAUCGGGGCAGGGUAAGUCGACCCCUAAGGCGAGGCCGAAAGGCGUAGUCGAUGGGAAACGGGUUAAUAUUCCCGUACUUCUUACAAUUGCGAUGGGGGGACGGAGAAGGCUAGGUGGGCCUGGCGACGGUUGUCCAGGUUCAAGUGCGUAGGCUUAAGAGUUAGGUAAAUCCGGCUCUUUUUAAGGCUGAGACACGACGUCGAGCAUCUACGGAUGUGAAGUCAUUGAUGCCAUGCUUCCAGGAAAAGCCUCUAAGCUUCAGAUUGUAAGGAAUCGUACCCCAAACCGACACAGGUGGUCGGGUAGAGAAUACCAAGGCGCUUGAGAGAACUCGGGUGAAGGAACUAGGCAAAAUGGUACCGUAACUUCGGGAGAAGGUACGCUCUCGACGGUGAAGUCCCUCGCGGAUGGAGCUAUUGAGAGUCGCAGAUACCAGGUGGCUGCAACUGUUUAUUAAAAACACAGCACUGUGCAAAAUCGUAAGAUGACGUAUACGGUGUGACGCCUGCCCGGUGCCGGAAGGUUAAUUGAUGGGGUUAGACUUCGGUCGAAGCUCUUGAUCGAAGCCCCGGUAAACGGCGGCCGUAACUAUAACGGUCCUAAGGUAGCGAAAUUCCUUGUCGGGUAAGUUCCGACCUGCACGAAUGGCGUAAUGAUGGCCACGCUGUCUCCACCCGAGACUCAGUGAAAUUGAAAUCGCUGUGAAGAUGCAGUGUACCCGCGGCUAGACGGAAAGACCCCGUGAACCUUUACUACAGCUUGGCACUGAACAUUGACCCUACAUGUGUAGGAUAGGUGGGAGGCUUUGAAGCACGUACGCCAGUAUGUGUGGAGCCGUCCUUGAAAUACCACCCUUGUAGUGUUGAUGUUCUAACGUCGACCCCUUAUCGGGGUUGCGGACAGUGCCUGGUGGGUAGUUUGACUGGGGCGGUCUCCUCCCAAAGAGUAACGGAGGAGCACGAAGGUGGGCUAAUCACGGUUGGACAUCGUGAGGUUAGUGCAAUGGCAUAAGCCCGCUUGACUGCGAGAAUGACAAUUCGAGCAGGUGCGAAAGCAGGUCAUAGUGAUCCGGUGGUUCUGAAUGGAAGGGCCAUCGCUCAACGGAUAAAAGGUACUCCGGGGAUAACAGGCUGAUACCGCCCAAGAGUUCAUAUCGACGGCGGUGUUUGGCACCUCGAUGUCGGCUCAUCACAUCCUGGGGCUGAAGUCGGUCCCAAGGGUAUGGCUGUUCGCCAUUUAAAGUGGUACGCGAGCUGGGUUUAGAACGUCGUGAGACAGUUCGGUCCCUAUCUGCCGUGGGCGUUGGAAGAUUGAAGGGGGCUGCUCCUAGUACGAGAGGACCGGAGUGGACGAACCUCUGGUGUUCGGGUUGUGUCGCCAGACGCAUUGCCCGGUAGCUAAGUUCGGAAUCGAUAACCGCUGAAAGCAUCUAAGCGGGAAGCGAGCCCUGAGAUGAGUCUUCCCUGAUACUUUAAGUAUCCUAAAGGGUUGUCGGAGACUACGACGUUGAUAGGUCAGGUGUGUAAGUGCUGUGAGGCAUUGAGCUAACUGAUACUAAUUGCCCGUGAGGCUUAACCA